UAAUAGCAUGUAUUACCUGAGC
This 22-nucleotide microRNA is filed under the name Electrophorus electricus (electric eel). RNAcentral describes it as "eel-miR-11050-3p". Lineage: Eukaryota; Metazoa; Chordata; Actinopteri; Gymnotiformes; Gymnotidae. The record is from miRBase by way of RNAcentral.